ACGGAAUGUGCGCAUGCAUGUGAUCGAGAAGCGAUAAUGUUCGUAUUUGACCUCAGCUCAGUCGUGAUUACCCGCUGAAUUUAAGCAUAUAAUUAAGCGGAGGAAA
This 106-nucleotide ribosomal RNA is filed under the name Anisakis typica. RNAcentral's name for it is "partial 28S ribosomal RNA". The stretch from base 48 to 106 matches the Rfam family "Eukaryotic large subunit ribosomal RNA", at positions 1 to 59 of the family's 3401-position model. The record is from RNAcentral. Lineage: Eukaryota; Metazoa; Nematoda; Chromadorea; Rhabditida; Anisakidae.